GACGAACGCUGGCGGCGUGCUUAACACAUGCAAGUCGAACGGAAAGGCCCCCUUGUGGGGUACUCGAGUGGCGAACGGGUGAGUAACACGUGAGUAACCUACCCUUGACUUUGGGAUAACUUCAGGAAACUGGGGCUAAUACCGGCUAGGAGCUCCUGCUGCUGGGUGGGGGUUGGAAAGUUUCGGCGGUUGGGGAUGGACUCGCGGCUUAUCAGCUUGUUGGUGGGGUAGUGGCUCACCAAGGCUUUGACGGGUAGCCGGCCUGAGAGGGUGACCGGCCACAUUGGGACUGAGAUACGGCCCAGACUCCUACGGGAGGCAGCAGUGGGGAAUAUUGCACAAUGGGCGGAAGCCUGAUGCAGCAACGCCGCGUGCGGGAUGACGGCCUUCGGGUUGUAAACCGCUUUCGCCUGUGACGAAGCGUGAGUGACGGUAAUGGGUAAAGAAGCACCGGCUAACUACGUG
This 465-nucleotide ribosomal RNA is filed under the name uncultured bacterium. Its description in RNAcentral is "partial 16S ribosomal RNA". It matches the Rfam family "Bacterial small subunit ribosomal RNA", at positions 28 to 507 of the family's 1533-position model. The record is from RNAcentral.